This 434-nucleotide ribosomal RNA is filed under the name uncultured Blautia sp. RNAcentral's name for it is "partial 16S ribosomal RNA". It matches the Rfam family "Bacterial small subunit ribosomal RNA", at positions 341 to 792 of the family's 1533-position model. Lineage: Bacteria; Bacillati; Bacillota; Clostridia; Lachnospirales; Lachnospiraceae. The record is from RNAcentral.
ACGGAAGGCAGCAGUAGGGAAUAUUGCACAAUGGGGGAAACCCUGAUGCAGCGACGCCGCGUGAAGGAAGAAGUAUCUCGGUAUGUAAACUUCUAUCAGCAGGGAAGAUAAUGACGGUACCUGACUAAGAAGCCCCGGCUAACUACGUGCCAGCAGCCGCGGUAAUACGUAGGGGGCAAGCGUUAUCCGGAUUUACUGGGUGUAAAGGGAGCGUAGACGGUUCAUCAAGUCUGAAGUGAAAGGCAUGGGCUCAACCUGUGGACUGCUUUGGAAACUGAUGAACUAGAGUGCCGGAGGGGUAAGCGGAAUUCCUAGUGUAGCGGUGAAAUGCGUAGAUAUUAGGAGGAACACCAGUGGCGAAGGCGGCUUACUGGACGGUAACUGACGUUGAGGCUCGAAAGCGUGGGGAGCAAACAGGAUUAGAUACCCUGGUA